UGCAGAGGAGCUGGAGCGCGCCUCACUUUCCCAGGUGCUGCUGCAGGCUCUGGGGGUGCUGGAGCGCCACGGGCCCAGGGAAGCCAGCAAAGGGCUCCCAGCUACUGGACAAGAUGGGGGAACUGACAUUCCUAGCACCAGGGGAGACUCCGAAAGGCUUUCCCUGGACAAGAUCCUAGCGCCAUACUGAACCAUCUCUUGGCAAGAAAUAGGAAGCAGCACCAGCAG
Molecule: long non-coding RNA, 228 nt
Organism: Dipodomys ordii (Ord's kangaroo rat)
Lineage: Eukaryota; Metazoa; Chordata; Mammalia; Rodentia; Heteromyidae
Exons: 3
Source: RefSeq, a predicted model, not a curated record